This 375-nucleotide ribosomal RNA is filed under the name Eugerres plumieri (striped mojarra). Its description in RNAcentral is "partial large subunit ribosomal RNA". It matches the Rfam family "Bacterial large subunit ribosomal RNA", at positions 607 to 1120 of the family's 2925-position model. Lineage: Eukaryota; Metazoa; Chordata; Actinopteri; Gerreiformes; Gerreidae. The record is from RNAcentral.
UUUGCAUCAUGAUUUAGCCAGAAACACUCAAGCAAAGAGAACUUUAGUUUGACCCCCCGAAACCAAGCGAGCUACUCCAAGACAGCCUAUUUAUAGGGCAAACCCGUCUCUGUGGCAAAAGAGUGGGAUGAGCUUUGAGUAGAGGUGACAGACCUACCGAGCUUGGUAAUAGCUGGUUGCCUGGGAACUGAAUAGAAGUUCAGCCUCUUGGCUUCUCUGCUCCGCGCCCUUCUACCCUGUCACCCCGACAGUGAGAAACCCAGAGAGUUAGUCAAAGGGGGUACAGCCCCUUUGAAACAGAUACAACUUUUUAAGGAGGUUAAAAAUCAUACUGCUUACAAGGUGGACGUUCUAGUGGGCCUAAAAGCAGCCACC